UUUAAUAUUAAAAUUAUAAUAACUAACUAAAAAUUAUUUUAAUUAUAUAUAUUUGAUAUGAAUGAAAAAAUGGAGAAUAUAAAAAAAAUAAAAAAAUAUUAAAAAAAAAGCUAAAAGAGACGUACUUAAUUCACAUUAAGAAAAGAGACAGAAAGAUGUUAGGAUUUGAUGCCUCAAAAUUUGAUCCAUAUUGAGCUUACAGUGAGAUCCACGACAACGAAUGGAGUCUAACAAACCCAAGAAUAGUCCA
This 250-nucleotide long non-coding RNA is filed under the name Elaeis guineensis (African oil palm). RNAcentral describes it as "long non-coding RNA (EGUI_LNC000484)". The record is from RNAcentral. Lineage: Eukaryota; Viridiplantae; Streptophyta; Magnoliopsida; Arecales; Arecaceae.